RNAcentral lists this ribosomal RNA (774 nucleotides) under uncultured Neocallimastigales. RNAcentral describes it as "partial large subunit ribosomal RNA". It matches the Rfam family "Eukaryotic large subunit ribosomal RNA", at positions 24 to 656 of the family's 3401-position model. Lineage: Eukaryota; Fungi; Neocallimastigomycota; Neocallimastigomycetes; Neocallimastigales. The record is from RNAcentral.
UAUGUGAUCGUCUCUCGCAUAUCAAUAAGCGGAGGAAAAGAAACUAACAAGGAUUCCCCUAGUAACGGCGAGUGAAGCGGGAAGAGCUCAAAUUUGAAAUCUUAAAGGGUUUCCCUUUACGAAUUGUAGUUUAAAGAAGUGUUUUCUGUUGAGGUUUUGGUAAAAGUUCUUUGGAAUAGGACAUCAUAGAGGGUGAGAAUCCCGUAUUUGACCUUUACUUUCAACUUUGUGAUACACUUUCAAAGAGUCGGAUUGUUUGGGAAUGCAGUCCAAAAUGGGUGGUAAAUUUCAUCUAAAGCUAAAUAUUGGCGAGAGACCGAUAGCGAACAAGUACCGUGAGGGAAAGAUGAAAAGAACUUUGAAAAGAGAGUUAAACAGUACGUGAAAUUGUCAAAAGGGAAGCGUUUGACACCAGUGUUGUUUUUCUGAAAAUCAAUUAAAGAACUGUUUAUGCUAAGUUGUUUAGACUUUAUCAGCUAACUGUUUAGUUUUGAGCUUUUCUUUAAUGCACUCUUCAGUUAACAAGUUAACAUCAAUUUCUUUUGCUGUAAAAAAGCUUGAGGAAGGUGGCUUGAGAUUCGUCUUAAGUGUUUAUAGCCUCUUGCCUAUGCAGUCGGAGAGAUUGAGGUCUGCAGCGUAGAUCCUUCGGGGCUAAAUGCAUUUGUGCUAAGUUAUAGCAUUUUAUAGACAACUUGUUGACUAUGAUUUGUCUUGUAGCUUACUCGCUUAUGUUAUUUUACCUACGCUUAGGAUGUUGACACACGCGCGUGCUCG